AUGAGCAGUGAUCCUGUCCUAGUGAGUCACAGGCAGGUCUUCCUAUAUGGGACCAGGGACUCUCAGAACUCCUACCUCUCAAGGAGCAGAGGUAGGCUUAAAACUUUGAACAGAGAAAUGCCUUCUUCCUGUUCUGGCCCUUCCAUGGUUCUUAGACUCCUUCACUGUGUGAUCUUCUGUCUUCUUGGAGCAGCUUGUGUGGAUGCGAUGGUCAUGCAGAACCCAAGAUACAAGGUUGCUAGGGUUGGAAAACCAGUGGAUCUGAGCUGCUAUCAGAGUCUGAAUCAUGAUGCCAUGUACUGGUACCAACAGAAACCAAACCAAGCACCAAAGCUUCUGCUCUACUACUAUGAUACAACAUUGAACAGGGAGGCAGACACUUCUGAAAACUUCCAAUCCAACCGGCCUAACACUUCUUUCUGCUCUCUUGGCAUCCGCUCUGCAGGCCAAGGGGAUUCUUCCAUGACCCUGGCUCUAAGUGCUGUCCUGGCAGUUUCAUUAGUAAACUCCCUCUUCUGCCCACUUCACUGGUUCUGCCUCUUUGCCCUUCAGCCAUCAGAGGUGACUAUAUCCGGUGAGAUGCACACUUUUGGACAGGCCAGUGAAGAGCCUGAGGGCUAUCUUGUAGUCUAG
Non-coding RNA from Arvicola amphibius (Eurasian water vole), 633 nucleotides. The record is from the annotation of a RefSeq genome assembly. Lineage: Eukaryota; Metazoa; Chordata; Mammalia; Rodentia; Cricetidae.